RNAcentral lists this ribosomal RNA (622 nucleotides) under uncultured bacterium. RNAcentral's name for it is "bacterial SSU rRNA". It matches the Rfam family "Bacterial small subunit ribosomal RNA", at positions 160 to 795 of the family's 1533-position model. The record is from RNAcentral.
CUGCUAAUACCGCAUAAGCUGUGAGGAGCACAUGCUCUAAAUAGAAAAGGAGCAAUCCGCUGAUAGAUGAGCUUGCGUCUGAUUAGUUAGUUGGUGAGGUAACGGCCCACCAAGACGAUGAUCAGUAGCCGGACUGAGAGGUUGAACGGCCACAUUGGGACUGAGAUACGGCCCAGACUCCUACGGGAGGCAGCAGUCGGGAAUAUUGCGCAAUGGAGGAAACUCUGACGCAGUGACGCCGCGUGCAGGAAGAAGGUUUUCGGAUUGUAAACUGCUUUAGACAGGGACGAAAUAAAUGACGGUACCUGUAGAAUAAGCUCCGGCUAACUACGUGCCAGCAGCCGCGGUAAUACGUAGGGAGCAAGCGUUAUCCGGAUUUAUUGGGUGUAAAGGGUGCGUAGACGGAAAGACAAGUUAGUUGUGAAAUACCUCGGCUUAACUGAGGAACUGCAACUAAAACUAUCUAUCUUGAGUACUGGAGGGGAAAGCGGAAUUCCUAGUGUAGCGGUGAAAUGCGUAGAUAUUAGGAAGAACACCGGUGGCGAAGGCGGCUUUCUGGACAGUAACUGACGUUGAGGCACGAAAGUGUGGGGAGCAAACAGGAUUAGAUACCCUGGUAGUC